AUUGAACGCUGGCGGCAUGCCUUACACAUGCAAGUCGAACGGUAACGGGCCUUCGGGUGCCGACGAGUGGCGAACGGGUGAGUAAUGCAUCGGAACGUACCUUUCAGUGGGGGAUAACGUAGCGAAAGUUACGCUAAUACCGCAUAUUCUGUGAGCAGGAAAGCAGGGGAUCGCAAGACCUUGCGCUGAUUGAGCGGCCGAUGUCAGAUUAGCUAGUUGGUGAGGUAAAGGCUCACCAAGGCGACGAUCUGUAGCGGGUCUGAGAGGAUGAUCCGCCACACUGGAACUGAGACACGGUCCAGACUCCUACGGGAGGCAGCAGUGGGGAAUUUUGGACAAUGGGGGCAACCCUGAUCCAGCCAUGCCGCGUGAGUGAAGAAGGCCUUCGGGUUGUAAGCUCUUUCGGCCGGGAAGAAAUCGUAUGGGCUAAUACCCUGUGCGGAUGACGGUACCGGCAUAAGAAGCACCGGCUAACUACGUGCCAGCAGACC
RNAcentral lists this ribosomal RNA (491 nucleotides) under uncultured bacterium. RNAcentral's name for it is "bacterial SSU rRNA". It matches the Rfam family "Bacterial small subunit ribosomal RNA", at positions 30 to 517 of the family's 1533-position model. The record is from RNAcentral.